Molecule: ribosomal RNA, 444 nt
Filed under: uncultured bacterium
Lineage: Bacteria
Description: partial 16S ribosomal RNA
Rfam family: Bacterial small subunit ribosomal RNA
Source: RNAcentral
GUAGGGAAUAUUGGGCAAUGGUCGGAAGACUGACCCAGCCAUGCCGCGUGCAGGAAGACGGCCCUCUGGGUUGUAAACUGCUUUUAUCUGGGAAGAAAAAGGCCAUGCGUGGCAAAUUGCCGGUACCAGAUGAAUAAGCACCGGCUAACUCCGUGCCAGCAGCCGCGGUAAUACGGAGGGUGCGAGCGUUGUCCGGAGUUAUUGGGGUUAAAGGGUGCGUAGGCGGCUGAUUAAGUCAGCGGUGAAAGACUUCGGCUUAACCGGAGCAGUGCCGUUGAUACUGGUUGGCUUGAGUGUCGGAGGGGUACAUGGAAUUGAUGGUGUAGCGGUGAAAUGCAUAGAUACCAUCAGGAACACCGAUAGCGAAGGCAUUGUACUGGCCGACAACUGACGCUGAUGCACGAAAGUGUGGGGAUCGAACAGGAUUAGAUACCCUUGUAGUCC